UAAUACGUAGGAGGCAAGCGUUAUCCGGAAUUACUGGGCGUAAAGGGCGUCUAGGUGGACGCCCAAGCGGGGUGUGAAAGCUCCUGGCUUAACUGGGAGAGUGCGCUCCGAACUGGGCGACUAGAGGGCAGGCGACGGAGGUGGAAUACCCGGUGGAGUGGUGAAAUGCGUAGAGAUCGGGUGGAACACCAGUGGCGAAGGCGGCCUUCGAGCCUGUGCCUGACACUGAAGCGCGAGAGCGUGGGGAGCAAACGGGAUUAGAUACCCCGGUAGUCCACGCCGUAAACGAUGAUGACUAGGUGUAUGGGGUUGUAACAAACCCUGUGUGCCGCAGCCAACGCGAUAAGUCAUCCGCCUGGGGAGUACGGCCGCAAGGCUA
Molecule: ribosomal RNA, 379 nt
Filed under: uncultured bacterium
Lineage: Bacteria
Description: bacterial SSU rRNA
Rfam family: Bacterial small subunit ribosomal RNA
Source: RNAcentral